CUCAGUAACGGCGAGUGAAGCGGCAUCAGCUCAGAUUUGAAAUCUGGCCCCAUCGGGGUCCGAGUUGUAAUCUGUAGAGAGUGCUUCGGGUGAGACCACGGUCUAAGUCCAUUGGAACAUGGCGUCACAGAGGGUGAGAAUCCCGUAUGUGACUGUGGCUCGAGCCCAUGUGAAGCCUCUUCGACGAGUCGAGUUGUUUGGGAAUGCAGCUCAAAAUGGGUGGUAAAUUUCAUCUAAAGCUAAAUACUGGCUGGAGACCGAUAGCGCACAAGUAGAGUGAUCGAAAGAUGAAAAGCACUUUGGAAAGAGAGUCAAACAGUACGUGAAAUUGUUGAAAGGGAAGCGCUGGCAACCAGACCUGUCCGUAGGUGAUCAGCCGCUGUUUUCAGUGGUGCACUCGCUCUACGAUCAGGCCAGCAUCGGUUCUGGCGGUCGGAUAAAGGCCUUGGGAAUGUAGCUUCCUCUCGGGGGAGUCUUAUAGCCCUCGGUGCAAUGCGGCCAGCCGGGACCGAGGACCGCGCUUCGGCUAGGAUGCUGGCGUAAUGGUUGUCAGCGACCCGUCUUGAAACACGGACCAAGGAGUCUAACAUCUAUGCGAGUGUUUGGGUGUCAAACCCAUGCGCGGAAUGAAAGUGAACGGAGGUGAGAACCCUUAAGGGCGCAUCAUCGACCGAUCCAGAUGUCUUCGGAUGGAUUUGAGUAUGAGCAUAAAUGUUGGGACCCGAAAGAUGGUGAACUAUGCCUGAAUAGGGUGAAGCCAGAGGAAACUCUGGUGGAGGCUCGCAGCGGUUCUGACGUGCAAAUCGAUCGUCAAAUUUGGGU
Molecule: ribosomal RNA, 822 nt
Filed under: Parmelia sulcata
Lineage: Eukaryota; Fungi; Ascomycota; Lecanoromycetes; Lecanorales; Parmeliaceae
Description: eukaryotic LSU rRNA
Rfam family: Eukaryotic large subunit ribosomal RNA
Source: RNAcentral